This 228-nucleotide long non-coding RNA is filed under the name Glycine max (soybean). RNAcentral describes it as "long non-coding RNA (GMAX_LNC002203)". The record is from RNAcentral. Lineage: Eukaryota; Viridiplantae; Streptophyta; Magnoliopsida; Fabales; Fabaceae.
UUUACAAUGUGUGUAUUAGAUUCUUGUUUACCGCUAUUCAAUACAUCAGAGACGACUUCAAAAUACUGUGAGCCGGAGUUGAUCAUUGCCUGAGUUUGUCGACCUCUAAUAACAAAGAGUUGUGUGGUCUUGAAAUAGGUAUCAUCAACCAACGAUGACACCGUCAAAUGUCUUGUGUUUUUUAACAUGGAAUUAACAGACUCAGACAAAUUGGUAGUCAUAUGUCCC